This is a long non-coding RNA of Anthonomus grandis grandis, 2757 nucleotides long. RefSeq lists it as uncharacterized. The record is from RefSeq and is a predicted model, not a curated record. NCBI's taxonomy places the organism in Eukaryota, Metazoa, Arthropoda, Insecta, Coleoptera, Curculionidae. The transcript has 4 exons.
UAUUCCCUUAGUUCUGCUCGGAUUCUGUUAUAACCCGGGGUUUUCGUAAUCUAGAUGAUCAGAAUAAGACGCUGGUAUACUUAGUUUGAUUUCGAAAAAAAUCAAUUUUUGGUGAAAAAUUCGAUACGGGGGGGUAUACCCAAAAAAUGAAAAAUUCCAAACUUUGAAGGUCGAUAUCUCGGCUUCUAUGGGAGCUAUCGGGAAAAUUCCAACAGUUUUGUCUUAGUUUCGUCAUUGUGAAUCCAACGAGACCAUCCGCAAGGUCGUAGCUUUUACGAUAGCCGAGAUAUGGCAUUUUUGAUGCCCAUUUUUGGCCUCAAAAACGGACGUCGAAAACGACUUUUUCAGGAUUUUCAAAGUGCUCUCAUUCCCUUAGUUCUGCUCGGAUUCUGUUAUAACCCGGGGUUUUCGUAAUCUAGAUGAUCAGAAUAAGACGCUGGUAUACUUAGUUUGAUUUCGAAAAAAAUCAAUUUUUGGUGAAAAAAUUCGAUACGGGGGGGUAUACCCGAAAAAUGAGAAAUUCCAAACUCUGAAGGUCGAUAUCUCGGCUUCUAUGGGAGCUAUCGGGAAAAUUCCAACAGUUUUGUCUUAGUUUCGUCAUUGUGAAUCCAACGAGACCAUCCGCAAGGUCGUAGCUUUUACGAUAGCCGAGAUAUGGCAUUUUUGAUGCCCAUUUUUGGCCUCAAAAACGGACGUCGAAAACGACUUUUUCAGGAUUUUCAAAGUGCUCUCAUUCCCUUAGUUCUGCUCGGAUCCUGUUAUAACCCGGUGUUUUCGUAAUCUAGAUGAUCAGAAUAAGACGCUGGUAUACUUAGUUUGAUUUCGAAAAAAAUCAAUUUUUGGUGAAAAAAUUCGAUACGGGGGGGUAUACCCGAAAAAUGAAAAAUUCCCAACUUUGAAGGUCGAUAUCUCGGCUUCUAUGGGAGCUAUCGGGAAAAUUCCAACAGUUUUGUCUUAGUUUCGUCAUUGUGAAUCCAACGAGACCAUCCGCAAGGUCGUAGCUUUUACGAUAGCCGAGAUAUGGCAUUUUUGAUGCCCAUUUUUGGCCUCAAAAACGGACGUCGAAAACGACUUUUUCAGGAUUUUCAAAGUGCUCUCAUUCCCUUAGUUCUGCUCGGAUUCUGUUAUAACCCGGGGUUUUCGUAAUCUAGAUGAUCAGAAUAAGACGCUGGUAUACUUAGUUUGAUUUCGAAAAAAAUCAAUUUUUGGUGAAAAAAUUCGAUACGGGGGGGUAUACCCGAAAAAUGAAAAAUUCCCAACUUUGAAGGUCGAUAUCUCGGCUUCUAUGGGAGCUAUCGGGAAAAUUCCAACAGUUUUGUCUUAGUUUCGUCAUUGUGAAUCCAACGAGACCAUCCGCAAGGUCGUAGCUUUUACGAUAGCCGAGAUAUGGCAUUUUUGAUGCCCAUUUUUGGCCUCAAAAACGGACGUCGAAAACGACUUUUUCAGGAUUUUCAAAGUGCUCUCAUUCCCUUAGUUCUGCUCGGAUCCUGUUAUAACCCGGUGUUUUCGUAAUCUAGAUGAUCAGAAUAAGACGCUGGUAUACUUAGUUUGAUUUCGAAAAAAAUCAAUUUUUAGUGAAAAAAUUCGAUACGGGGGGGUAUACCCGAAAAAUGAAAAAUUCUAAACUUUGAAGGUCGAUAUCUUGGCUUCUAUGGGAGCUAUCGGGAAAAUUCCAACAGUUUUGUCUUAGUUUCGUCAUUGUGAAUCCAACGAGACCAUCCGCAAGGUCGUAGCUUUUACGAUAGCCGAGAUAUGGCAUUUUUGAUGCCCAUUUUUGGCCUCAAAAACGGACGUCGAAAACGACUUUUUCAGGAUUUUCAAAGUGCUCUCAUUCCCUUAGUUCUGCUCGGAUUCUGUUAUAACCCGGGGUUUUCGUAAUCUAGAUGAUCAGAAUAAGACGCUGGUAUACUUAGUUUGAUUUCGAAAAAAAUCAAUUUUUGGUGAAAAAAUUCGAUACGGGGGGGUAUACCCGAAAAAUGAAAAAUUCCCAACUUUGAAGGUCGAUAUCUCGGCUUCUAUGGGAGCUAUCGGGAAAAUUCCAACAGUUUUGUCUUAGUUUCGUCAUUGUGAAUCCAACGAGACCAUCCGCAAGGUCGUAGCUUUUACGAUAGCCGAGAUAUGGCAUUUUUGAUGCCCAUUUUUGGCCUCAAAAACGGACGUCGAAAACGACUUUUUCAGGAUUUUCAAAGUGCUCUCAUUCCCUUAGUUCUGCUCGGAUUCUGUUAUAACCCGGGGUUUUCGUAAUCUAGAUGAUCAAAAUAAGACGCUGGUAUACUUAGUUUGAUUUCGAAAAAAAUCAAUUUUUGGUGAAAAAAUUCGAUACGGGGGGGUAUACCCGAAAAAUGAAAAAUUCCCAACUUUGAAGGUCGAUAUCUCGGCUUCUAUGGGAGCUAUCGGGAAAAUUCCAACAGUUUUGUCUUAGUUUCGUCAUUGUGAAUCCAACGAGACCAUCCGCAAGGUCGUAGCUUUUACGAUAGCCGAGAUAUGGCAUUUUUGAUGCCCAUUUUUGGCCUCAAAAACGGACGUCGAAAACGACUUUUUCAGGAUUUUCAAAGUGCUCUCAUUCCCUUAGUUCUGCUCGGAUUCUGUUAUAACCCGGGGUUUUCGUAAUCUAGAUGAUCAGAAUAAGACGCUGGUAUACUUAGUUUGAUUUCGAAAAAAAUCAAUUUUUAGUGAAAAAAUUCGAUACGGGGGGGUAUACCCGAAAAAUGAGAAAUUCCAAACUCUGAAGGUCGAUAUCUCGGCUUCUAUGGGAGC